CCUACGGGAGGCAGCAGUGGGGAAUAUUGCACAAUGGGGGAAACCCUGAUGCAGCGACGCCGCGUGAGUGAAGAAGUAAUUCGUUACGUAAAGCUCUAUCAGCAGGGAAGAAACACUGACCUUACGGUCAGCAGACGGUCCCUGAGUAAGACGCCCCGGCUAACUCCGUGCUAGCAGCCGCGGGAAUACGUAGGGUGCACGCGUUAUCCAGAUUUACUGGGUGUAAAGGGAGCGUAUACGGUGCGCCAAGUCUGGAGUGAAAUGCCGCGGCUUAACUGCGGAAGUGCUUUGGAAACGGGCGAACUUGAGUGGGGGAGGGGUAAGCGGAAUGCCUAGGGUAGCGGUGAAAUGCGUAGAUAUUAGGAGGAACACCGGUGGAGAAGGCGGCUUACUGGACCGUAACUGACGUUGAGGCUCGAAAGCGUGGGGAGCAAACAGGAUUAGAUACCCCAGUAGGC
This 458-nucleotide ribosomal RNA is filed under the name uncultured bacterium. RNAcentral describes it as "partial 16S ribosomal RNA". It matches the Rfam family "Bacterial small subunit ribosomal RNA", at positions 338 to 795 of the family's 1533-position model. The record is from RNAcentral.